UUAGAGUUUGAUCCAUGGCUCAGAUUGAACGCUGGCGGCAGGCUUAACACAUGCAAGUCGAGCGGUAACAGAUCCAGCUUGCUGGAUGCUGACGAGCGGCGGACGGGUGAGUAAUGCUUAGGAAUCUGCCCAGUAGUGGGGGAUAGCCCGGGGAAACCCGGAUUAAUACCGCAUACGUCCUACGGGAGAAAGCAGGGGAUCUUCGGACCUUGCGCUAUUGGAUGAGCCUAAGUCGGAUUAGCUAGUUGGUGGGGUAAGAGCCUACCAAGGCCACGAUCCGUAGCUGGUUUGAGAGGAUGAUCAGCCACAUCGGGACUGAGACACGGCCCGAACUCCUACGGGAGGCAGCAGUGGGGAAUAUUGGACAAUGGGGGCAACCCUGAUCCAGCCAUGCCGCGUGUGUGAAGAAGGCUUUCGGGUUGUAAAGCACUUUCAGUGAGGAGGAAAACCUUUGGGUUAAUAACCCCGAGGCUUGACGUAACUCACAGAAGAAGCACCGGCAA
Molecule: ribosomal RNA, 503 nt
Filed under: Marinobacter sp. V4S-034
Lineage: Bacteria; Pseudomonadati; Pseudomonadota; Gammaproteobacteria; Pseudomonadales; Marinobacteraceae
Description: bacterial SSU rRNA
Rfam family: Bacterial small subunit ribosomal RNA
Source: RNAcentral